Molecule: long non-coding RNA, 605 nt
Organism: Thalassophryne amazonica
Lineage: Eukaryota; Metazoa; Chordata; Actinopteri; Batrachoidiformes; Batrachoididae
Exons: 2
Source: RefSeq, a predicted model, not a curated record
GCGCUGCUUCCUCGACGAGGCGACGAUACCAACUGACAUGACGGAGAAAACCAAAACCUGCCCCCGCUUCAGCUCGGCGGCUCGCGCUGCUGCCUGUGUGCGCCUCCUAACGGCUGGUUACGGUGAAGGUGUUCUGUGUCUUGCUCAAGGACAAUUUGACAGUGUUCAUGGACCGCCUGCUCUGCCGCCUCAGAGAUAUUGAAUGAAGGCCAACGAUGAAAAUGUUUCACCGGGAUGGAGAUCUGUUUGUGUCGGCCGCCGUCUUUAGUGAUGACCGGCAGGUUGCAGCAGGUUUGGCUCAAAGUUCUGUAUGACAUUUGAGCUCAGUCCAGAUUCAAACAUAGAAAAAUUCAACGUGACAGGCGACCACAGCUUACACGUGUCAUUAUGUUUGAUUUAAAGCCUGUUUCAGGAGCGGACGUGUUCAGGGAGAUCUGAGGGCGCGGCUCCACUCCAGCGUGUGGAAUUUGAGAGGCUGGAUUACAAAUGUGUGUCAGAGUAAAGGUGAUGUGACAGAAUCUUGUGAGCGUAGGAAGGUGUUUGGGAUCCGUGUUCCCCAACCGGGAUUAGGUCAACUCUUCCCAGGAAUACACAAGAAGUUUCAA